AGAGUUUGAUCCUGGCUCAGAUUGAACGCUGGCGGCAUGCUUUACACAUGCAAGUCGAACGGUAACAGGUCUUCGGAUGCUGACGAGUGGCGAACGGGUGAGUAAUGUAUCGGAACGUGCCCAGUAGUGGGGGAUAACUACUCGAAAGAGUGGCUAAUACCGCAUGAGAACUGAGGUUGAAAGUGGGGGACCGCAAGGCCUCACGCUACUGGAACGGCCGAUAUCAGAUUAGGUAGUUGGUGGGGUAAAGGCCUACCAAGCCUGCGAUCUGUAGCUGGUCUGAGAGGACGACCAGCCACACUGGGACUGAGACACGGUCCAGACUCCUACGGGAGGCAGCAGUGGGGAAUAUUGCACAAUGGGCGCAAGCCUGAUGCAGCAACGCCGCGUGAGUGAUGAAGGCCUUCGGGUCGUAAAACUCUGUCCUAAGAGAAGAUAAUGACGGUACCUUAGAAGGAAGCCCCGGCUAACUACGUGCCAGCAGCCGCGGUAAUACGUAGGGGGCAAGCGUUAUCCGGAAUUACUGGGCGUAAAGGGUGCGUAGGUGGCUGACAAGUCAGGGGUCAAAGGCAACGGCUCAACCGUUGUAAGCCCUUGAAACUGUCGGGCUUGAGUUCAGGAGAGGAAAGCGGAAUUCCUAGUGUAGCGGUGAAAUGCGUAGAUAUAUGGAGGAACACCAGUGGCGAAGGCGACUCUCUGGUCUGUAACUGACGCUGAGGCUCGAAAGCGUGGGGAGCAAACAGGAUUAGAUACCCUGGUAGUCCACGCCGUAACGAUGAGUGCUAGUGUUGGAGGGUUUCCACCCUUCAGUGCUGCAGCUAACGCGUUAAGCACUCCGCCUGGGGAGUACGGCCGCAAGGCUGAACUCAAGGAAUUGACGGGGGCCGCACAGCGGUGGAGUAUGUGGUUUAAUUCGACGCACGCGAGACUUACCAGGACUGACAUUGAGUGAAAGGCUAGAGAUAGGUCCCUCCCUUCGGGGACACAAAAACAGGUGGUGCAUGGCUGUCGUCAGCUCCUGUCGUGAGAUGUUGGGUUAAGUCCAUCAACGAGCGCAACCCUUGUGAAUAGUUGUAUUUUUCUAUUCAGACUGCCCCGGUAACGGGGAGGAAGGAGGGGAUGAUGUCAGGUCAGUAUUUCCCUUACACCCUGGGCCAGAAACGCGCUACAAUGGCUGGUACAAUGCGCAGCGAAGUCGCGAGAUGGAGCAAAUCGCACCAAAACCAGUCCCAGUUCGGAUUGCAGGCUGAAACUCGCCUGCAUGAAGUCGGAAUCGCUAGUAAUCGCAGAUCAGCAUGCUGCGGUGAAUACGUUCCCGGGUCUUGUACACACCGCCCGUCAAACCAUGAAAGUCACCAACACCCGAAGUCCGAUUCGUCGGCCUAAGGUGGGGGGGAUGAUUGGGGUUAAGUCGUAACAAGGUAACC
RNAcentral lists this ribosomal RNA (1427 nucleotides) under uncultured bacterium. RNAcentral describes it as "partial 16S ribosomal RNA". It matches the Rfam family "Bacterial small subunit ribosomal RNA". The record is from RNAcentral.